UACGGAGGGUGCAAGCGUUAUCCGGAUUCACUGGGUUUAAAGGGUGCGUAGGUGGGCAAGUAAGUCAGUGGUGAAAUCUCCGGGCUUAACCCGGAAACUGCCAUUGAUACUAUUCGUCUUGAAUACUGUGGAGGUCAGCGGAAUAUGUCAUGUAGCGGUGAAAUGCUUAGAUAUGACAUAGAACACCAAUUGCGAAGGCAGCUGGCUACACAAAUAUUGACACUGAGGCACGAAAGCGUGGGGAUCAAACAGG
RNAcentral lists this ribosomal RNA (253 nucleotides) under uncultured bacterium. Its description in RNAcentral is "partial 16S ribosomal RNA". It matches the Rfam family "Bacterial small subunit ribosomal RNA", at positions 524 to 776 of the family's 1533-position model. The record is from RNAcentral.